AACUGAGCCCAACCACAAUUAUAUCUCUUCAUUUUGCUUAGGAGAAAGCCAGCAGCUGCAAGCUAGUCUUUAGUAGGGUUUCUAUCCCCACAACCACAGAGAAGGGAAGACCAGUCGAUUUGUUAUUUGAAAAAUGGGGUGGAAAGCAGCUGAGAAACUGAUUAGGCACUGGAAAGUACUCAGAGGAGAUAAUGUUAUGAUAAUCCGAGGAAAGGAUAAAGGUGAGACUGGCGUUGUUAAGCGUGUCGUUCGCUCUCAAAAUCGUGUUAUUGUCGAGGGCAAAAAUCUGGU
Populus euphratica (Euphrates poplar) is the source of this 291-nucleotide long non-coding RNA. RefSeq lists it as uncharacterized. The record is from RefSeq and is a predicted model, not a curated record. Lineage: Eukaryota; Viridiplantae; Streptophyta; Magnoliopsida; Malpighiales; Salicaceae. The transcript has 2 exons.